This 429-nucleotide ribosomal RNA is filed under the name Gemmatimonadota bacterium. RNAcentral's name for it is "Gemmatimonadetes bacterium partial 16S ribosomal RNA". It matches the Rfam family "Bacterial small subunit ribosomal RNA", at positions 355 to 776 of the family's 1533-position model. Lineage: Bacteria; Pseudomonadati; Gemmatimonadota. The record is from RNAcentral.
UAGGGAAUCUUCGGCAAUGGACGAAAGUCUGACCGAGCACCGCCGCGGGAGUGAAGAAGGUUUUCGGAUCGUAAAACUCUGUUGUUAGAGAAGAACAAGGACGUUAGUAACUGAACGUCCCCGGACGGUAUCUAACAAGAAAGCCACGGCUAACUACGUGCCAGCAGCCGCGGUAAUACGUAGGUGGCAAGCGUUGUCCGGAUUUAUUGGGCGUAAAGCGAGCGCAGGCGGUUUCUUAAGUCUGAUGUGAAAGCCCCCGGCUCAACCGGGGAGGGUCAUUGGAAACUGGGAGACUUGAGUGCAGAAGAGGAGAGUGGAAUUCCAUGUGUAGCGGUGAAAUGCGUAGAUAUAUGGAGGAACACCAGUGGCGAAGGCGGCUCUCUGGUCUGUAACUGACGCUGAGGCUCGAAAGCGUGGGGAGCAAACAGG